RNAcentral lists this non-coding RNA (88 nucleotides) under Pseudomonas shahriarae. The record is from RNAcentral. Lineage: Bacteria; Pseudomonadati; Pseudomonadota; Gammaproteobacteria; Pseudomonadales; Pseudomonadaceae.
CUUGAUGGUGGCUGUGCGCAGGGCGCCUUCGGGCGCGCCGGCUUUGGGUGUUCACCGGUCUACUAACCUGCGUGCAGCCGCCACCCUA